CGGAUUUACUGGGUGUAAAGGGUGCGUAGGCGGCUUUGCAAGUCAGAUGUGAAAUCUAUGGGCUCAACCCAUAGCCUGCAUUUGAAACUGCAGAGCUUGAGUGAAGUAGAGGCAGGCGGAAUUCCCCGUGUAGCGGUGAAAUGCGUAGAGAUGGGGAGGAACACCAGUGGCGAAGGCGGCCUGCUGGGCUUUAACUGACGCUGAGGCACGAAAGCGUGGGUAGCAAACAGGAUUAGAUACCCUGGUAGUCCACGCUGUAAACGAUGAUUACUAGGUGUGGGGGG
Molecule: ribosomal RNA, 284 nt
Filed under: uncultured bacterium
Lineage: Bacteria
Description: partial 16S ribosomal RNA
Rfam family: Bacterial small subunit ribosomal RNA
Source: RNAcentral